This 834-nucleotide ribosomal RNA is filed under the name uncultured Sphingobacteriales bacterium. RNAcentral's name for it is "bacterial SSU rRNA". It matches the Rfam family "Bacterial small subunit ribosomal RNA", at positions 50 to 878 of the family's 1533-position model. Lineage: Bacteria; Pseudomonadati; Bacteroidota; Sphingobacteriia; Sphingobacteriales. The record is from RNAcentral.
UAUACAUGCAGUCGUGGGGCAGCAGGUUUGUAGCAAUACAGAUGCUGGCGACCGGCAAACGGGUGCGGAACACGUACGCAACCUCCCUCUUUCUGGAAGAUAGCCCAUCGAAAGGUGGAUUAAUACUCCAUAAUAUAUUGAAGUGGCAUCACUUUAAUAUUAAAGCUCCGGCGGUAAGAGAUGGGCGUGCGUCUGAUUAGGUAGUUGGCGGGGUAACGGCCCACCAAGCCUGCGAUCAGUAGCUGAUGUGAGAGCAUGAUCAGCCACACGGGCACUGAGACACGGGCCCGACUCCUACGGGAGGCAGCAGUAAGGAAUAUUGGUCAAUGGACGCAAGUCUGAACCAGCCAUGCCGCGUGGAGGAUGACGGUCCUCUGGAUUGUAAACUUCUUUUCUCUGGGACGAAACCCCCGAUUUCCAUCGGGCCUGACGGUACCAGAGGAAUAAGCACCGGCUAACUCCGUGCCAGCAGCCGCGGUAAUACGGAGGGUGCAAGCGUUAUCCGGAUUCACUGGGUUUAAAGGGUGCGUAGGUGGGCAGGUAAGUCAGUGGUGAAAUCUCCGGGCUUAACCCGGAAACUGCCAUUGAUACUAUCUGUCUUGAAUUCUCUGGAGGUAAGCGGAAUAUGUCAUGUAGCGGUGAAAUGCUUAGAUAUGACAUAGAACACCCAUUGCGAAGGCAGCUUACUACGGAGUUAUUGACACUGAGGCACGAAAGCGUGGGGAUCAAACAGGAUUAGAUACCCUGGUAGUCCACGCCCUAAACGAUGAUUACUCGACAUUAGCGAUAUUACAGUUAGUGUCUAAGCGAAAGCAUUAAGUAAUCCACCUGGGA